Molecule: long non-coding RNA, 6618 nt
Filed under: Ananas comosus (pineapple)
Lineage: Eukaryota; Viridiplantae; Streptophyta; Magnoliopsida; Poales; Bromeliaceae
Description: long non-coding RNA (ACOM_LNC031462)
Source: RNAcentral
AAUAGCUAAAGAAAAGUUGCAAGAAAGGAAUAGCUAAGAGCUAAAAGUAAGCAUUAAAUGGCAAAGAGUAAAGAAUGAUUAAGAACAUAAGUAGUGUUAAAGUAACCUACUUGCAUGAUUCCAGGUAUUGCAUAUUGCAUUUCGUGAGGCAGGACAUGUAUUUCAAUUGAAUAUAUAUCUGUUGUAUAUUGUUGAUCUAACAUGUUGCAGUGCCUCGUUAGACCUGUUGGCUGAGCUUGUUCUCUUGGGUGGCUAAACCCACUGAGGACUAUGGACAAUAGUCUCACCCCCGUGUUGCUGUUUUGGGGGUACAGGUACACACGUGUGCGGCGCGGCGGCGCAAGGCGAGGACGUAGUUCUGCAGAUAGCGUCCUACCCAGAGACUGAGAUAGCAGUACCCGAGUUGGUGGUCUAGCUUGGGAGGUUUAAAGACAAGAACAAACUUUUGUUUAAGUUGUAAAAGAAUCUGUAAUAAUUAUGAUUGUAUUUGGAGGUUGAUUGUAAAAGAAAAAUUAUGUUGUAAAAUGCAUCUAAGUUGAAUGCUGUAAUAACUUAGUAGUUUAUGUUUUUGAUACUCCUUAUGCAAUCUAUGGUUGAAUACCUGUUCCUGGUUGGAACCUCUCGUAUUGUAUUGAUUGCGAUGCCUUGAAUGUACAGGGGAGACUCUGUCCGUAGUACAGGGGAAACCCUGUCCAUUCGGCGUGUCGGCGGCGCCGGGACCUCGGCCAAAUAGGCGGGUGGUCGCGGGUCGUGACAGUUGGGGUAUCAGAGCAUAAAGUAGAGAAUGGGAAUGGUUUAGGCAGACCUAGGAGACCCUAGGAUAGUGAAACCAUAGAGGUUAAGACUCGUGAGAGACGAGGAUUUGUGACUUGUGGCGAAAGAUAAUUAAUUGGGUCAAGUGUUGAAACCUCUAAGACGGAUGUUGGAGGUAGAUUCAAGGUGUUGUUGAUUCUCAACCGAGGGUGUUCAUGUUGGGUGCACACAACAUGAAGCCGAGUGAUGAGAAUAGACGCCCUUGCGUGACUUUCGCCCGAUUGGCUUUUGAGCCGGUGUUAAUGGUCUCGUGUUCGACCCAAGUUGGUCGAGAACUAAUCAAGUUGUCGUGUUUCAGGAAAAGAUGGCACCGCGUAGGCGAUCUUCGCCCAGACCGGCGCAGGAGGGGACCAGUGGUGUCCCUGAGCAGACCGACGCGAGCGGAGACUCGGAGCUUCGUGAUCAGUUGGCCACACUCAUUGGAGUGAUGAGGCAACAAACUAAUGUGGUGCAGAGGCAGCAGGAGGCUCCUAUGCGCCAGGAAGAGCGAAUGGAAAGACUCCAAGAAACGGUGGACUGGCUAGUGGGUGCGCCAGUUGCGGCUGGUCAAGGACAGCCGGGAGUUGCAGCGGGGGCGUUCCCGUCGGGUUUGGGUGAUCCAACUUCUAUUGGUUCAGAGGUGGCGACGGAAAGGGAGCGAGCCUUGGCGACUCUCAUGGCUUUCAAGAAGUUCAAUUCGCCUACCUUUGAUGGAGAGGACACAGAUCCGUGGAUCAUGGAGAUGUGGAUUGAUUCCAUGGAAACGCUCUUCGAGGAUUUGUACACGUUGGAGCAGGACAAGGUAAACCUAGCUGUGCACUACUUGAGACAGUCGGCGAAGGUGUGGUGGAAAGGCGUUAAGCAAGAUCGAUCGCCUAGACUCCCUCCUAUGACUUGGGAAGAGUUUCGGGGAUUGGUGUUCUCAGCCUAUUUCCCUAACAGUGAAAAGCGAAAGCUUAAGGAAAGAUUCCAAAAGUUGCGGCAAGGAGAUCGCUCAGUUAGGCAAUACGAGCGGGAGUUUUCCCGUAUCGUGCAUUGUGUCCCAAACUUGGUACGGAAUGACAAGGACAAGGCUGACUGCUUUGUGCGUGGACUGUGGCCAGGCCUUUACAAGGCUGUGCUUGUACACAGAUUGCAGACUUUUGCUGAAGUCCUGGAUCGGGCCUUGUGGAUAGAACAAGGCGAGGCAUCUCUGCGGGAGGAGCACGAGGCAUAUUACAAGGAAAAGGAAAAAGGACGGCCAGUCAGUGGACACGGUGGUCAGUCAAGUUCCGAACAGACUUCGAUGAGUUCACACUCGCGAUCUCGAGCUUCGGGGACAUACCGCAUUCGGUCCUCGGCGAAAUGUGCUAUCUGUGGAGGCCCUCAUUUUCCACAGCAGUGUGAGCAGCGAAAGGGCAAGUGCUUCAAGUGUGAGCUGUCGAGUCAUAUGCGGGACAAGUGUCCACGUGGUGACGGCCAGGCCUUGACACUGGCGACGACCCAUUCCUCUCUGGGACAACCUCAGGUGCGCCACCUACGGCAUGGUCGGGAGAGUGGCCGUUGAGGACGAUGCAACCAGAGGGUUCGCGACGAGUGCCAGGUGGGCAUGGAUAAGCAACCCGAGUUGCGGAGCCUGCCGUUGCUGACGUCAUCGUGGCAGGUAUGAGUUAAUUGAGCAAGCAUGUGUUUUUAUUAAUCUCAAGUUGGUGCAUAGCAUGCAUUUGUUGUUGGUCGGUUGCUACUAAUUAUAUAUUGCAUAGUAGGGACCGAAUGGUCGGGUAAGUAGACGCCCGUACAUGCUUGCAUUGUGAGAAGUGGCACCUGCUGGUGCAAGUAGAAAGCCAAGUGGUGCUAGCUAAUGGCUAGUGAUGAUUCUCCGGUAAGGAAUGAGAUUCGUGGAGAACAUGGUCUAGUAAGUGACUCUCGAAAUAAUGGAUUGAAAAAUUGUGAAAGUUGAGCCUUAAUGUUGAGGAUACCCGAAAGACUCGGGAGUUGAGAAUGUGUUCCGGUAGAUCGGACAGUGAAAGUAGAAUCACCGUGGUGAGAGUAGCCGUGUAGUUGACGGACGUAGGCCUGUUGGCCUAGUAAUACCUCGAAGUUGAGGUGGACGAGUUGUGCUCGUGUAGUGGACGUGCAUAGGCAAGCUGCCUAAUGCUGGAUUUCGUGUUAGAUGCUGUAGAGGAGUAGAGCGCUCGAGUAUAGUUACUCGUGAGGUGCGGUUUCGAUUCAGCCGGUUGAGUGAGUUGGCAGUAGCAUUUUAGCAGGGCUAAGUGUGAAGCGGGCCAUGGAUCACUCGAGGGGCUGGUGGCUCGCACAAGGUGCUUAAGAGCCGAUAGAGGUACUUGUAGCUCUGUAGAGCAUGUCGUGUAGGACGAAGUUAGCGGGUAGUGCUUGGGGACGACCCGUGCCUGGACCACUUGUGGACUGUGGAGCCUGGACCCAUUGGGCAGGCGCAGUCAGCUGUGAGAGACAGCGGCCCGGUACCUAUCGGCAGGGCGAGAGUUUUGGUCAGGACGGUAAUCCGAGUUUAGACCCGAAUACGUGGAAUGUCACGUGUUAGAGUGCGAGAUUGAUGAUACACCGAAUGUGUAGUGACCCAACCCAAGGAUUAGAUAUGGAUUGGGGUCUUGAUAGCUCCUGGUUGGAGUGUGUGCGAGUUCUCCAAUGAGAAUGUCGCCCAAUGAUGAUUGGGUCUACGCUUGCGAGCGAGAAACGCUAGGCAUCGUUGAGACAAGUUUAGUCGGUAGGCCUACAUAGGGUGGGUGACUGUUGGUCCACCCAUAGAGACUGAUGGUCGGUGCGACCGAUGACCCUGUGAAUGAGCUUAGGCUCGAGUUGUGAACGAAGAGUUCGUGCAAAUUCACAGUCGGAGUAGAGUGGCAUUGAUCGUGGCUUAUGGUAUUAAAGGAUAAAGAGAAACCGAAGUGCCCUUAUAAGGCCUUGAGCUAAUGGAAGCCACGUGAGAAUUGGAGUUGGUACGCUCAAGUUAGUGGAAGCAGGUGGAUAAUGCUCUCAAGGGAGUUGAGGUUGAGACACGCCGAGGCGUGCCGUCUCGUGAUAGGGCAGAGAUUCGAUUGAGAUUGAAGCACUCGCAAUAGGCCGAUGUACCAAUGAUGUUGCCGUUAUGCAAUGCCAUUGGUCGGAAUCAGAGUGGAAAGGUGUGUUGGUUCCCUCGAUAACUCGAUAGAUCGAGUGGAGAUGUGGUUUGAAUUUCGCGGACGAAAUUCUUUUAAGGAGGGGAGAAUGUAACCCCCGAGAUCUCGGUGAAAUAUUGUGGACUUUAGCCUAAUUGACUAAAGUACUCGAAGGGAUUGGUUGGACGCGAUCCAUUAACGUUCCAACACUGUUGGAAGGGUUAAAAAUAAGCUCUACUCUAAAUCAGUCUGAACCGUCGUUUUGAGCAUGAACACGCGAAAACGGAUCAAAACGGACCAAUUCAAUCAACAUCGGAUGUCUUAGUAACCGGUACAAAACCAGAGGUUAACACCGUAACACGACCAAGCCUGAAGUUCAAGGCAUUGAGACUGCCAAGGCACCUAUGUACCGAACAAGAUCUGUACGCUACAAGACCUCGCAAACCGAUAACACCGAGCGUCUCGAUCUGGCUCUCUGCAGGCCUGCACCGGACAAGAAACCGUGUAUACCCGUACCAAGGAUCCCGAAACCGCAGGUUGAAGUUGCAAUCUUUGGAAAAAAACAAGGGCUAAGUGUCAAUAUUAUACAUACACAUUAUAGGUAUUCAGAUUCCUUUAUACUCCCUGCCCACUCCUACAACCCUCUCCUCUCUCUGUUAUCGCGUGCCCACACCGAAGGAGAAAAGAAAGAAAUGAGAAAAAGAAGAAGAAAAAAAAGAAGAAAAGAUAAAAGAAGUUGAAAAGAAAUGAAAGAAAUCGUAGAAAGAAUCUCAUCCUCUCCUCAUCUCCCAUGAUCUUGAGCACAGCUUUAGAGUAAGCUCUAACCCUAAAAAUGGUAUUCCUAGCGUUUAGGUUUGGUUGCUCUUGGGAUUUCAAAUGAACCAUUUGAGUUAGAAUGAGGAUUUCUAGCUCCAUUGAAGCUGAAACCAUGAAUGCGACCAUAUCAACACCUCAAGGUUGGUUGGGUUUUGGAACCUAAUCUUGAUNNNNNNNNNNNNNNNNNNNNNNNNNCACCCAAAGUGGUGUCGGGUGUGUGCGACGAUUUCGCCGCCCAGGGGCUAGAAAACCAUUAUCGUGGCGUGUGUGCGACGAUUUCGCCGCCGGAUGGUUAGCCAGUUUGUGGAUCCUACCACCUGUUGACUGAACCACUGUCGUGGCGUGUGUGCGACGAUUUCGCCGCCGGGUGACUAAGUCAUGAACCUAGGCCGUUGUUGGGUGAGGUGCGAUUCGUUCGCCGCCAGACGACUAGGACAGGAGUACGGUGAGCUGUUGCCAGCUGAGGUGCAUGUGAGAGUUUCUUCACCUCGAGCUAGACAGUGCCCGGACUAUCCGCGAGUGAUUGACUCAAGACCGAGUCGGGUGGCAUAGCGAACUAAGGUAAAGAAACCUUAGGAAAGAAUAGCUAAAGAAUAAGGAAUGGCUAAAGAAUAAUGAAUAGCUAAAGAAAAAUUGCAAGAAAAAAAUAGCUAAGAGCUAAAAGUAAGCAUUAAAUGGCAAAGAGUAAAGAAUGAUUAAGAACAUAAGUAGUGUUAAAGUAACCUACUUGCAUGAUUACAGGUAUUGCAUAUUGCAUUUCGUGAGGCAUGACAUGUAUGUCAGUUGAAUAUAUAUCUAUUGUAUAUUAUUGAACUAACAUGUUGCAGUGCCUCGUUAGACCUAUUGGCUGAGCUUGUUCUCUUGGGUGGCUAAACCCACUAAGGACUAUGGACAAUAGUCUCACCCCCGUGUUACUGUUUUGGGGGUAUAGGUACACACGUGUGCGGCGCGGCGGCGCAAGGCAAGGACGUAGUUCUGCAGAUAGCAUCCUACCCAGAGACUGAGAUAGCAGUACCCGAGUUGGUGGUCUAGCUUGGGAGGUUUAAAGACAAACUUUUAUCAAGAUGUAUUAAAUUGUAAUAAGUAAACGAUGUGCUAAUUAUGAUUGUAUUUGGAGGUUGAUUGUAAAAGAAAAAUUAUGUUGUAAAAUGCAUCUAAGUUGAAUGCUGUAAUAACUUAGUAGUUUAUAUUUUGAUACUUCCUUAUGCAAUCUGUGAGUGAAUACUGUUCCUGGUUGGAACCUCUCGUAUUGUUUUGAUUGCGACGCCUUGGAUGUACAGGGGAGACUCUGUCUGUCCGGCGGUCUGUCGGCGGCGCCGCGACCCGGCCAAAUUGGCGGGUGGUCGCGGGGCGUGACAUAGUCGAUGUCAAAAUGGCCUAUCAUCAAGUCUCUAUAUUGCAGUUUAACAAUUUUCUAGUCCAAGUGCCUCUUCAUGACACUAUGGCUCAUUAUGUCCCAACAUGGAUACUAAGUUCAAGAACUUGUAAUUCUAGUCAUAUUCGAAGCAAGAAACUUGAUUUCAUAUCAUCUCACAGAAUGUUCACCGCAUGCAUAUUAACAAAGCAUAUAUGUCUCUCUACUAUAUGGAGUAAAUUUUCUUGAUGCAUAACAUAUGAGUUCUAAGCAUUCAAAAAUUCUCAUAAAUGCUACUAAACAUGAAUAUGCAUGAAUUUAUAGUAAAUGAAAGCAUUUAACCAUAUAGGAGGAAUUUCCUCCCAUUUCAAAGAAGCCAAACCCACCACGGCGUCACGAAACCCUUCGUAAGCUCCAACGAAGGUAUCCACUACUCUUCUAGGACCCUAAGGGUACAAAACGAAGAGUCACACAAACCGAACGAACAACUCCUAGGUUAAACAUUAACCAAUACAAGAAAAAGGGCAAAACUCACAUUGU